Molecule: long non-coding RNA, 828 nt
Organism: Betta splendens (Siamese fighting fish)
Lineage: Eukaryota; Metazoa; Chordata; Actinopteri; Anabantiformes; Osphronemidae
Product: histone H3.v1-like
Source: Ensembl
UUCGCUAAUAACUGCACCCACAUUAGGGAGAUUUCAACACCAGCCAAACCUUUUUUAUCAUCAUUUAUUAUAGUUGUGUCUAAUUCAUGAAUUUUAUGAUUGCCACAGGAAUUUAAAAGACAAAUAUAUUCUCCUUAUCUAGUUGCUUUUGAGUUUUGCAUCAUAUUGCAUUGCUCAGUCCAGCAGCCUGGAGUUAAGUAUCCGCACCUGAUUUGAAUAAGCAACUAAUGAAAGCUUAAAACUGCAGCGUUUCCUUCUCAGGAAGACUCAGCUACUAAACUAAUGGACAUGCAGCAUGAAAUGAGGCAACCUCUGGAGCCCAUCCAGGAAGAGUCGGAGCAGGAGGAUGGAAGCAUAAAAAGCAACGUGGGUGAAGAAGAGGAGGACAAUUUUGAAACUCCGGAGACAGAGGAGGUAAUGGCAGAAGAUGAGAGUGAAGAAGAAGAAGAAGAAGAAGGUAAUGAUGGGGCUUUGAGUUCCAGGCAACUCUCUCGUUCCCUCGGCCGAAAGAGUUUCUCUCAAACGCAAUCUGCCUUCAAUCACUGGAGCGAAAUGAGAAACAUCACUGCGCCCGGUUCAGCUGAUUUAACAGACGAAGCCUCAUCAUCCUGGUUGCCAGGGCACAGCCACAGGAAAUGGAGGGCGGAGGGCUUUAUGGUCCGAAAGCAACAACACAAACCACUUCGGCAGAAGAAUGUGAGGAGGAGAGGAUCGCAGAGAAAACCGGCGCCUGUGAGUGGUCCCCUCAAAGUGUGUGUGUGUGUGUGUGUGUGUGUGUGUGUGUGUGUGUGUGUGUGUGUGUGUAUAAAGAUUUAUUUGACGUGGUAA